AAAAUCAAUGGAGACAAUCAAUGGAUGAUCGACGGAGACACUCAGUGGACAGAUGAUCAGUGGAAAGACGACUGAUGAAGAUAAUCACUGGUUAGAUGGUUAAUAGACAAUCUAUGGACACAGUCGAUGAAUAGAUGAUCAGUGGAGAGAGAUCAAUGGAGAGAUGAUAGAUGGAGACGAUCGAUGGAUAACCGAUAGAGAAAUCACUGGAGAGGCAAUCAAUGGAGCGACAGUUUAUGGGUUCUCUCCCAAGCACUUAGUGCGGUGCUCCGCACAUAUCCUCAUCAUCUUCAUCGUCAUCGUCAGCAUCGUCACGACCACCAUGCCGACUGACCCUUCCCGCUCCGAGGGCACUGAACAGGGCACCGAAGAGCAAUAAAAGGCAGAGCGGCCCUAGGGCGGCCCCUCGAAAGCCAGCCGGAGGUUGGGUAAGAGGGACUGUGGCUUCUCGAAUGGCGGCUGAUAUCCUAACGAGUAGGGUGGGGGGGCACAGGAGGCCGGGCCAGAUGGAGAUGGAGAUGUCUCCAUCUCUCAUGAGUUUCCUCUUCUCUCUCUAGGUUCCUGUUUGUGCUGUUUAGUGCCAUUGUUCUUGUCUGUCCGUCUCCCCCGAUUAGACUGUAAGCCCGUCAAACGGCAGGGACUGUCUCUAUCUGUUGCCGACUUGUUCAUCCCAAGCGCUUAGUACAGUGCUCUGCACAUAGUAAGCGCUCAAUAAAUACUAUUGAAUGAAUGAAUGAAUGAACCCCCGGAAGGGGACUCCAAGCUGAAGCUGAGUCAGAGGGACCCAGAACCUGUGGGGUUGACGGGGAAGACAAGGUCCCCUCAGUGAUGGAUCAGUCCUGGGUCAGAGAGUUCCUCAUGGCUAACCCAAUCAGAAUCCUCCCGCCAACCAGCCACCCACCCUCACCACUCCCACAGUUCUCUGCCAGACUAUGGGAAUGAUUCUCCUAAAGGGGAAAUCAAGGCCCAGCAUCUCCAGUUGACUGCUGACAUCUUUACAUGAGGGACCGCUCUCUCCCCCAGCCUCACCUUGUCUGCCUCCAAGGCUCCGAGCACCCGGACGGCCUGCCUAUCCAUCCAUCAAUCCGUCUGCCACUCGGGCAAAGGAGCGUUUCUCAGAGAGGAACUCGUGGUCCCCCUCUGCCCCGCCUUUCAGCAGAGAGGGGCCUGUUGUCAGGGAAGAGAUGGGUUUGGGGUACACUGCUUCUCCACCAAGGGCUCUAAUGAGGAAGCGAUACGGUCCGUGUUUGGCUCCGAGAACUGCCUCACUGUCCUCUAAAGGACCCUGGGAGGCCAGCUGCCUGUCAUCUGGGCUGAGCGCGGAGGAUUUCUAAGGAGAGAAGUGCUCUACUCAUCGACUUGCGAUUGGACCAAUAAUGUGCGUCUGCUUCUGGACAGAGAGUAGGCCUUCUUUCCUCCCUGCCCUCAAUAAUGGAGGAAUGGGAAAGCCAGGUUCUGGAAUUAAUACUGCUUCCAUCUAAUUUCAGGCUUGUCGUUUCUCUGUUGAGGGGAAUGCUCUUUCCACAGGCCUUUUGGGAGGGCAGAAGGCAGCCAAGUGCCUCCUAAAAAGGAUUUGAAGAGAAUAUUGAACUCUUACGAUUGAGUGUCUGAGUGCCACCCCCCCACUUCUCCCCUACCCACAAAAAAUGGUGGCUUCUCAGUAACAGAUGCGGACUUGGGGUUCCUCUGGUCGGGAAAGAUGGGGGGUCCUUAGUAUGGAGAAAGCAACUCCAAUCCCAAGAGGCCUUCCCAGCCUAAACCUUAAUUUCCUUUUCUCCUACUCCCUUCUGUGUCACCCUUGCUCCCUUUGUUCACCCCUCUUUCGUCUCCACAGCAUUAAUGUACAUAUCCAUAAUUUAUUUCUUUAAUGUCCUCCUCCCCCUCUAGACUAUAAACUCUCCGUGGGCAGGGAACGUGUCUACCGACUCUGUUAUAUUGUACUCUCCCAAGUGUUUCUACAGAGCUCCGCACAAGGUAAGUUCUCAAUAAAUAUGAUUGAUUAUUUACUUGAUGAUGGUGAGGAGAUGCAGGAGGGCCCUUUGGGUCUCUCCAGCUGAUUCCCCCACUGCUCCUGGGGAGAGCCCUCCAGAGACGGGAGGAGGGACAGGAGGGAGGUGUCUCAGAAAACAUGCCUUCCUUCCCACCCCUCAGCCAGGAUUCCUGCUCUCUGCAGGCUGCUGUUGUUGAAGGAAGCCGAGUUGCAAGACUGCAAGAAGAGUCUGUGGGGGCUGAGAGAGUGUUACAGGGGCAGGGAGGAAACUGGGAGGAGUAGCCUUGGG
RNAcentral lists this long non-coding RNA (2279 nucleotides) under Ornithorhynchus anatinus (platypus). RNAcentral describes it as "lncRNA (ENSOANG00000040974.1)". The record is from RNAcentral. Lineage: Eukaryota; Metazoa; Chordata; Mammalia; Monotremata; Ornithorhynchidae.